GACGAACGCUGGCGGCGUGCUUAACACAUGCAAGUCGAGCGGAAAGGCCCUUCGGGGUACUCGAGCGGCGAACGGGUGAGUAACACGUGGGUAACCUGCCCCUUGCUCUGGGAUAACUCCGGGAAACCGGGGCUAAUACCGGAUACGACCACUUUAGGCAUCUUCGGUGGUGGAAAGUUUUUCGGUCGAGGGAUGGACCCGCGGCCUAUCAGCUUGUUGGUGGGGUAAUGGCCUACCAAGGCAGUGACGGGUAGCCGGCCUGAGAGGGCGACCGGCCACACUGGGACUGAGACACGGCCCAGACUCCUACGGGAGGCAGCAGUGGGGAAUAUUGCGCAAUGGGCGAAAGCCUGACGCAGCGACGCCGCGUGAGGGAUGACGGCC
Molecule: ribosomal RNA, 384 nt
Filed under: uncultured bacterium
Lineage: Bacteria
Description: bacterial SSU rRNA
Rfam family: Bacterial small subunit ribosomal RNA
Source: RNAcentral